This 1982-nucleotide ribosomal RNA is filed under the name Escherichia coli. RNAcentral's name for it is "partial 23S ribosomal RNA". It matches the Rfam family "Bacterial large subunit ribosomal RNA", at positions 1 to 1999 of the family's 2925-position model. The record is from RNAcentral. Lineage: Bacteria; Pseudomonadati; Pseudomonadota; Gammaproteobacteria; Enterobacterales; Enterobacteriaceae.
AAAGAAAGUAAGCAAGGGCGCAUGGCGGAUGCCUUGGCUCUCGGAGGCGAUGAAGGACGUGAUAAGCUGCGAUAAGCUUCGGGCAGGUGCAAAUAACCUUUGAUCCGAAGAUUUCCGAAUGGGACAACCCGUCAUUCUGAAGGAAUGACAUCUUGCAUAGCAAGAGGCUAACACAGGGAACUGAAACAUCUUAGUACCUGUAGGAAAAGAAAAUAAUAAUGAUUCCCCUAGUAGUGGCGAGCGAACGGGGAUUAGCCCAAACCAAUGUUGUUACGGCAAUAUUGGGGUUGUAGGACCACGAUGUCGCAAGAAAUUUAGUGAGAAGAACCCUUUGGAAAAUGGGACCAUAGACGGUGAUAGUCCGGUAUUCGAAGCUAAAUGAAGCGUAGUGGUAUCCUGAGUAGCGCGGGACACGAGGAAUCUUGCGUGAAUCUGCCGGGACCAUCCGGUAAGGCUAAAUACUCCCGAGAGACCGAUAGCGAACCAGUACUGUGAAGGAAAGGUGAAAAGCACUUCGAAUAGAAGAGUGAAAUAGUCCCUGAAACCGUGCGCCUACAAGCGGUCGGAGCUGCUUCAGCAGUGACGGCGUGCCUUUUGCAUAAUGAACCUACGAGUUACUUUUUCCGGCAAGGUUAAGGAUCUUGAGAUCCGCAGCCGAAGCGAAAGCGAGUCUUAAUAGGGCGAUUAGUCGGAAGGAGUAGACGCGAAACCAAGUGAUCUACCCUUGGUCAGGUUGAAGGUUAGGUAACACUAACUGGAGGACCGAACCGAUAAGCGUUGAAAAGCUUCCGGAUGAACUGAGGGUGGGGGUGAAAGGCUAAUCAAACUUGGAGAUAGCUCGUACUCCCCGAAAUGCAUUUAGGUGCAGCCUUGGGAAUUACUACUGUGAGGUAGAGCGACUGAUAAGAUGCGAGGGCUUCACCGCCUAUCAAGUCUUGAUAAACUCCGAAUGCGCAGUAGUUCGAUCCCAGGAGUGAGGGCAUGGGUGCUAAGGUCCAUGUCCUAAAGGAGAAGAAUCCAGACCAUCAGCUAAGGUCCCGAAAUAAUUGCUAAGUUGAACUAACGAAGUCAGAUUGCUAAGACAGCUAGGAUGUUGGCUUGGAAGCAGCCAUUCAUUUAAAGAGUGCGUAACAGCUCACUAGUCGAGGAGUUUGGCGUGGAUAAUAAUCGGGCAUUAAGCAAUUUACCGAAGCUAUGGGAUCCGUAAGGAUCGGUAGGGGAGCAUUCCACUCUGCGUCGAAGGUGAAGCGUGAGCUUUGCUGGAGCGUGUGGAAAAGCAAAUGUAGGUAUAAGUAACGAUAAAGGGGGUGAGAAACCCCCUCGCCGAAAGACUAAGGUUUCCUGAUCAACGCUAAUCGGAUCAGGGUUAGUCGGGUCCUAAGGCUCAGCCGAACGGUGAGGCCGAUGGCAGAACAGGUUAAUAUUCCUGUACUACCUUAAAGAGUGACGUGGAGACGGAGGAGUGACAGCGCCGCGGACUGACGGAAUAGUCCGUUGAAGGGUGUAGAUGUUGAUUAUCCCAGGCAAAUCCGGGAUAAGAGUCGAACCUGAUAGUAUACCAAAUUCCUCGGAAUAAGGUAAUAGUGCGUGUAAACAUACUCCCAAGAAAAUCCGCUAAACUUAAUCUUUAAGGUACCCGUACCGCAAACGGACACACGUAGUCGGGUUGAAUAUACUAAGGCGCUUGAGUGAUUCACGGUUAAGGAACUAGGCAAAUUGACCCUGUAACUUCGGGAUAAAGGGUCCCAACGAGAGUUGGGCGCAGAGAAUAGGUCCAGGCAACUGUUUAACAAAAACACAGGGCUGUGCCAAAUUGAAAGAUUACGUAUACAGCCUGACACCUGCCCGGUGCUGGAAGGUUAAGAGGAGAUGUCAUCGCAAGAGAAGCAUUGAAUUGAAGCCCCAGUAAACGGCGGCCGUAACUAUAACGGUCCUAAGGUAGCGAAAUUCCUUGUCGGGUAAGUUCCGACCUGCACGAAUGG